GGAGCGCAGAGAGCAAGAUCCGUCCUGCAAGAAUGAAUUGGCUGAGCUAAGACAUGUCAGACCAGCGCCCAGGAAGCAAACCAUUGAAAAUGAAACAUACGAGGAAUAUGAGGAGGCUUUUGAGAAUGACUCAAUUGAAAAGGUGGUGGUGGCACGGAAGGCGAAGAGGCGAGUGAAUUUUUUCAAACGUAUAUUCACCUCUCGAAAAUGAAGACUUCACGAUGCAUGUUGGUGUUGAACCGGCCGACCCCUGUACG
Amblyraja radiata (thorny skate) is the source of this 257-nucleotide long non-coding RNA. RefSeq lists it as uncharacterized. Lineage: Eukaryota; Metazoa; Chordata; Chondrichthyes; Rajiformes; Rajidae. The record is from RefSeq and is a predicted model, not a curated record. The transcript is spliced from 3 exons.